Molecule: transfer RNA, 71 nt
Filed under: Capsicum galapagoense
Lineage: Eukaryota; Viridiplantae; Streptophyta; Magnoliopsida; Solanales; Solanaceae
Description: tRNA-Gly
Rfam family: tRNA
About the family: Transfer RNA (tRNA) molecules are approximately 80 nucleotides in length. Their secondary structure includes four short double-helical elements and three loops (D, anti-codon, and T loops).
Source: RNAcentral
GCGGGUAUAGUUUAGUGGUAAAACCCUACCCUUCCAAGCUAACGAUGCGGGUUCGAUUCCCGCUACCCGCU